GAUGAACGCUAGCGGCAGGCUUAACACAUGCAAGUCGAGGGGUAUAGGCUUUCGGGCCUAGAGACCGGCGCACGGGUGCGUAACGCGUAUGCAAUCUACCUUUUACAGAGGGAUAGCCCAGAGAAAUUUGGAUUAAUACCUCAUAGUAUUAUGAAAUGGCAUCAUUUUAUAAUUAAAGUUCCAACGGUAAAAGAUGAGCAUGCGUCCCAUUAGCUAGUUGGUGUGGUAACGGCACACCAAGGCAAUGAUGGGUAGGGGUCCUGAGAGGGAGAUCCCCCACACUGGUACUGAGACACGGACCAGACUCCUACGGGAGGCAGCAGUGAGGAAUAUUGGACAAUGGGCGCAAGCCUGAUCCAGCCAUGCCGCGUGCAGGAUGACGGUCCUAUGGAUUGUAAACUGCUUUUAUACGGGAAGAAACCCUGGCUCGUGAGCCAGAUUGACGGUACCGUAAGAAUAAGGAUCGGCUAGCUCCGUGCCAGCAGCCGCGGUAAUACGGAGGAUCCAAGCGUUAUCCGGAAUCAUUGGGUUUAAAGGGUCCGUAAGCGGUUUUAUAAGUCAGUGGUGAAAUCCGGUAGCUCAACUAUCGAACUGCCAUUGAUACUGUAGAACUUGAAUUGCUGUGAAGUAACUAGAAUAUGUAGUGUAGCGGUGAAAUGCUUAGAUAUUACAUGGAAUACCAAUUGCGAGGGCAGGUUACUAACAUCAUAUUGACGCUGAUGGACGAAAGCGCGGGGAGCGAACAGGAUUAGAUACCCUGGUAGUCCACGCCGUAAACGAUGGAUACUAGCUGUUUGGUAGCAAUACUGAGUGGCUAAGCGAAAGUGAUAAGUAUCCCACCUGGGGAGUACGAACGCAAGUUUGAAACUCAAAGGAAUUGACGGGGGCCCGCACAAGCGGUGGAGCAUGUGGUUUAAUUCGAUGAUACGCGAGGAACCUUACCAGGGCUUAAAUGUAGAUUGACAGACUUGGAAACAGGUUUUUCUUCGGACAAUUUACAAGGUGCUGCAUGGUUGUCGUCAGCUCGUGCCGUGAGGUGUCAGGUUAAGUCCUAUAACGAGCGCAACCCCUGUCGUUAGUUGCCAGCGAGUCAUGUCGGGAACUCUAACGAGACUGCCGGUGCAAACCGUGAGGAAGGUGGGGAUGACGUCAAAUCAUCACGGCCCUUACGUCCUGGGCUACACACGUGCUACAAUGGCCGGUACAGAGAGCAGCCACUGGGCGACCAGGAGCGAAUCUACAAAACCGGUCACAGUUCGGAUCGGAGUCUGCAACCCGACUCCGUGAAGCUGGAGUCGCUAGUAAUCGGAUAUCAGCCAUGAUCCGGUGAAUACGUUCCCGGGCCU
RNAcentral lists this ribosomal RNA (1346 nucleotides) under uncultured bacterium. RNAcentral describes it as "bacterial SSU rRNA". It matches the Rfam family "Bacterial small subunit ribosomal RNA", at positions 28 to 1381 of the family's 1533-position model. The record is from RNAcentral.